This is an RNA transcript of Oenanthe melanoleuca, 6669 nucleotides long. It is a transcript of the gene named nuclear apoptosis inducing factor 1, with no coding region annotated. The transcript is spliced from 4 exons. The record is from RefSeq and is a predicted model, not a curated record. Lineage: Eukaryota; Metazoa; Chordata; Aves; Passeriformes; Muscicapidae.
UGGCUGGAGCCCCUGGGAAGGCGGCGAUAAAGCAAACAGCUCCAAUAGAGCCACAGCCGGCAGUCAGUUUGAGCUUGACGGACGUCCCGCACAUCCGGUAGGUUGGAAAGCAGCGCGCGCUCUGGAUUGAUGGACAAGAGAACUACCCAAUGGGAUUGGAGCGAGGAAAUCCACGGGCGGGCCCAACCCCUCACCGGCCCCACGCAGGCCCAGUGCCCUGAGACCAGCGGCGGGGCGGGGCCUCCUCUUGGCUGCCUGAUGGACAGACCUGUUGACCAAUAAUAAUGCGGCAUUGCAGGCGGGAGGCGGGAAACUCACGUGACGGACAGGCUGGCGGACCAAUCAGACGUGGCAGGAAGAGGGGCCGAUUCUGGAAGCCAUUACGCCAGUGCCGCAGGGCGGGGGCCGUUGCGCGGGGCUGCCGGGCGGGCGCCGUACGCAAUUUGCGUAUCGUUGGCGGUGCCAAAGGGGGAGCGGGGGGGACCGACCCCUCCGGGCCCUGAGGGGCCUCGGGGCCCCCCUGUUGUCCCCGGCCCCGGGGGUGGGGGGGCCCUGCCGCCCCUCGGCCCUGCCCAGCGUCCCCCCAGGCCCCUCAGGUGUGACCCCGUGCCCCGUCCCCGCUGCCCCCCAUGGCCAUGGCGUCGCCGCCGGCGCCCCCAGCCAAGAAGCGGAAGAUGAACUUCUCGGAGCGGGAGGUGGAGAUCAUCGUGGAGGAGCUGGAGCGGGGAAAGCACCUCCUCGUCAACCAUUUCAACGCGGGCGUGCCGCUGGCCGCCAAGGCCGCCGCCUGGCACGACAUCCUGCGCCGCGUCAACGCCGUCGCCACCUGCCACCGCGAGCUGCCCGAGGUCAAGAAGAAGUGGUCUGACCUCAAGACCGAGGUGCGGCGCAAAGUGGCCCAAGUGCGGGCUGCCAUGGAAGGGGGAGGCGAGAGCCAGAACGGCGGCGGCAACGGGCCCGAGGGCGAGGACCCGGCGGGCGCCGCGGCCGCCCCGGUGAUCCUCACCCCCAUGCAGCAGCGCAUCUGCAACCUGCUGGGAGAGGCCACCAUCAUCAGCCUGCCGAGCGGCGACUGCGGCGCGGGUGACGGGAGCGAGAUCCCCAUCACCGCCUCGGCCACCACGGUCACCCUGACCCAGAUUCCUGCAGAGACAACCUACCACAGUCUGGAGGACGGGGUAGUGGAGUACUGCACCACGGAGGCCCCCACCGCCGUCACUGCGGAGGCGCCCCUGGAGAUGAUGGCCCAUCAGCACGAGGUGUCUGCCAAGCCCCAGGAGCUGAAAAGCCGCAUCGCCCUGAACUCGGCCAAGCUCCUGCAGGAGCAGCGAGUAACCAACCUGCACGUCAAGGAGAUUGCCCAGCACCUGGAGCAGCAGAACGACUUGCUGCAGAUGAUUCGCCGCUCGCAGGAGGUGCAGGCGUGUGCCCAGGAGCGGCAGGCACAGGCCAUGGAGGGGACACAGGCAGCACUGAGUGCCCUCAUCCAGGUCCUCCGCCCCAUGAUUAAGGACUUCCGUCGAUUUUUGCAGAGCAAUACACCCAGCCCAUCGGUCACCACUGACCCUGGCCAGACAGGGCAGCAAGAUGCCUUUAACUGACUUCUAACGUGGAGAGUUCUGUCGGGAUACCAGUGCUGCAGCUGUACAAGGUACAGUGAUGUGAACCCACUGUGCACACAAUGAAUGCAUUUCUGGCUCUUGCUGAAAGCAUUUACUGGAAAUGUGGUACCGGAUGUGGUAGAACCUUCUCUCUGCACUGAGAGCUAUGGAUCGUGCUCCUGCAGCGUCACAUCCAGCCCGUGCAGACCAGCACCCAGCCUCUGUGCAGUUUAAGUCCCACCUACCUCCCCUGAGGAGCCCAGUGGAAUUGAAACAGUGCAUUCACCUCAUGUUUUAUCUGCGUGCAGUCAUGAAAUUUCUCUAUCAACUUGGCAGAUGUGAUGAAAGUUUCAUGUCUUGGGUACCAGAAACUCUCCUGGGAUACGUCUUGUCACAAUGCCUUUAUUUGUUGCUGCAUAAACACCCAAGGGCCUGGAUGAGUUUCCCUCGGGUGGAUGAAACGGUGGAACUCUAUCUCUGCCUCAUCUGCAUAGUUUGUCACUUCUAGAAUACCUUGAUCCAUCAAAGCAGACCUGGACUAAGGUCCUGGACUAAUCUGCAGCCACACAGGAAUUCCCAAUGUUCAGGAGUUUGUCAGCCACUGAUUUGAGUGAAUUUUGGGGCAUUACUUGGUUCUGCUGUUGGUGGUGUUUGUUUUGUACUGUUUGGGAGCGAGUCCAGCCAUUCCAUGUUUGUCUGCUGGCUGGCCUCAUCCUGAGAAACAGAGCUGAGGUUCUCCUCACUAUCCUGUACCGUUAUACAGGGUGAAACAACAUUACAGCCACUUCUGAGGCAUUCAGGCUAUGGGGCUUGGUCCUUAAUGAGAAAGUUUAAUUGCACAGGAUGGUCAACGUGAUUCUCACAGACUUGCAGUAACUUCAUAAACUUUUAGAUUAAACAUCCAGUUGUACAUGCAUGGAAGAAAACCUAGGGAAAGAAAAAAAAGAAGUGUAAGUCUUCUCCUUCUACCUUGCAAAGUGGCUUACAUUUAACAGGCUUGUUGCUUGCCAGGUUAUUACUUUUGAAAUGGAACUUGCUGUUAAGUCUCCGUUAGGGCUGACGAGGGAGUGAAUUUGCACAAUCAAAUGAAGCCUUUACACAGCCUUUAAUGGGGAGAUGCUGCUGGGGGACCCCUGGUUAGAGCAGUAGGUGAAGAGGUCACUGCUGUCAGUUCCUGGCCUUUACUCAUCUCCUCUUCUCUACAAAUCUGAUGGGGGAGAAAAGGACAACAGAGUGAGAAGGGUUUGGUCCCUGGAAGACUCCCAACCCCUUAGGACUGACACCUCCAAGCUGAGUCAGGAUGGGUCCUGCCUUGUCUGGCAUCUCACCACAUGAGUAGCACUUACCUGACUCUUCCUCUUAGACUUUGUAGAAUCAAAUCAAUUGCUGAAUUGAAAUUUAUUUUUAAGAGAUUUAUAUUCAACAUCCAGACUGGGAAGGAGCCAUGCAGAGAUGUUCUGCCACAGGGUGCCUCGGACAUGGGGGUGAGGAGCAUCUUCCUGCUUGCUGGGGAAAGAGCAGUUUGGUGGGGGACUCUCAGUGGUGAAAAGAAAAUGUUUGUGUCUAUGGAGACAGCACCAAGCUACCAGGAGCAGCGCUCCUGAGUGCAGCUGCAGCCCGGCUUUCCAGGAGAUGGCACUGCGCACCGGGAUCCCGAGCUGUGGCACUGCACCGUCCAAGGAACCACCUCGUCCUCCAGACCUUGUGGGAUCCUCUCUUUGCACCCUUCACUGGUGAAUCUUUUCAGGGCUGAGAGCCUGGAGAGGACGAAAUUCAAAGGGCAGAGUGCAGCAAUGAGAUAUCCCUGGAAAAGUCAUGAUGCCUAGGGACUCAAACCAAGUCCCUCUGCCCCCCACAGGCAUGGCAGAGGACACUGAGAUGUCUGUCUUUGGGAUGAGUUUACUGCAGAACUGCAGUGCAGAAAAAACUACAUCAAGUCCUUCAUUAUAAGCAAAGGGACAGGGUUUAAGGAUUUUUAGAAGGUCACACACGCAUCAGUAUCCCACAAGUACAAUGUGCUGCCAUCACUUCAUUGCAGUUCUGGGAGCAGAUCCCCACCAAGGGACAGAAUGAUAUCGCCUGCACACUCACCCAAAUAACCUCUAUUUCCUUCAGCAUGUUUUUAAAGUUUGUCAAGCCUGUUUUGGCAAAGCAUCCUUCUGGGGAUCUUUUAUGGGUUUUUUCCUGUUGUAGUGUGAAAGGUUGCCAGCAGGUACUGUCAGCAGAAGGGUGGUCAGAUCAGUGUGAAAAUUGAAGCAUUUAAGAUUCUUUAUCUUGCUUGAAAGUACCUGAUAAGAAGCAUCAUGAGACUGAGGAGCACAGCUUCCAGCCCAUGUUUUGAGUUCCAGAAUGAAGUCAGUAUCACCUGCAAAUGGGGCUCAUGAGCCCUUGGGUCCCAGAUGUGCAGGUAUUUAACCCGAGGCAGAAUCCCAGCGCCAGCAGGGGCAGUUUCUUUCACCUCUGCCACCUGGGAUCCCAAAUUAGAGGUUGCUGUGUCAAGGGGGAACCACAUGCUUACAGUUGCUUCUGAUGUAUUUGGGGUAGCAGUGGCAUUUGUGGAGUUGCAGUCAAUGGGACAGGCCACAGCCACAACCGGUAAGUCUCUUGUCCAGCACAACACUGAAGGGAUGGAAGCUCGGGUGCAGACACAGGAUAAGGCUUAAUAAACACAAUAAGCCUUGAGGCAAAACAGGUUCCAAGUCUGCAGAUUUUGGAAGGGGCAAACGAGAUCCAGUUCCACCCACAGACCUCCCAGAACGAAGCGGAGAGUCCUGCUGCACAUUCCCAGGACCCACUGAAGCAGACAUGGAAACCAGUAAACAAAAAAAGCCAGGCAGCUGGAUUUUCAGGUCUAGCCACAUAUUUGGGGAAAGGAAUCCACCAACACCAGAUUCCUUGGCUCCCUUUGUCAAAUAACAGCAUUCCCAGUGCUGGCAGGCCAGAAACCCACCAUGCAGGUGUGUCCUUUGCACAUCCAACAGGAAACCCAGUCUGGUGCAGAAAGUGAAACAGUUCCUGGCCUUUAUGAUGAUGAGUUCGGUUAAAUAUGGAACAAGUGAAAAACAUAAGCAGGUCAAAGUGCAGCUCACAGCCUGUUAUUAAGCUGAGAAGACGCAAGCUUGGAAUAACUCCACACCGCGGGAUAAUCCUAUGCAAUGGGGAUAGGCACCCAUUCCCCUCACAGGGAAUGCUACAGCUUACACUGCUGUGGUGUCUGCACCGCCUGCCACAUUUUGGGAGCUCCCCAGCCUGGACCUGCUCCUGGUUCAGGGGGAGGCACCCAACCACUUCAACUCCCACCCAUAGUUCCUUGGAGCAGGGCAUUGCAUUGCACCCACGGCUCCAAGAAUGCAUUUACAGCAUGAAGUGUUGUGUGAUAAUCUCUUUCUUUUGGAUGAUGAGGCUGAAAGCUCAUUAAGGCCAUUACAGCAGAGGCGACAGGUGUAACAGAGGAGAACCAUUACUGUGUUUAUGCUGUUACAGCAACGUGUGUAAUUUAGUUUUAAAACUUUAAUCAUCUGGCUGCCAGGACAAAUGAAUUAGCUUGAUGAUGCUUUCCAGAGGAAGAUGCUGAUGAUGUAGUUUGCAGGGCUCAUGCAUCUGGGAUUCCCCUGGGAUAAGAGAUAGGAUUUGAAGGCUCACCAAAUGCAUUACAGGAUCUACCUCACUUCACCUCACUAAUCUUUGUCCCUCCUGCAUUUCUCUAGCCUUGUUUCUCCACUGCUGCUUUAUCUCUGUCCUCAAAGCUGAGAGGAGGCAAGACAAGGCAUCUCUGUUGGUGCUCACUCUCAGGGCACAGCAGUCCCGGCCCUGGCCAGCCAGGCACACCUCUCCAGGAGAGCAGAGGUGAGCCCAGACUUAACUGCACAGCACAGACUGAUAAAAAUAUCCCAGACUGAUAAGACAAUGCCCUGAGCCAGCAAAAGUUGAGGAAGUGGUGACGACACUAGGGAGCAGCCUCAGGAAGGUCUUAGGUCAGGAAGAGCACAGGGCAGGGAUGUGGCUGAGGGUCAUGGAGGAGAGGUGAGGUGGGCACUGCUAUAGAGGAGAAAUCCAUAGGAUGUGAGUCUGGGAUGAGCAGAAUCCAUGUGUAUCAAAGCACCCUGGUCACACACACAUGGCCCCAUGGCCAACGGAUUGCACCUGGAGCAGAAACUAACAUAAAGCCAGAGGGAUGUUGGAUGGAUGAAGAUACCCUACACCACAUUCCCUCUGUGGGAGGCUUAGACUAGCCCAUCCCUUCUGUAAACAGGAGCACGGUCCCUUUAAAACAUGUGAAUUUCUCCAGAAACAAUUAUGCAGCAUAAACACAGCAAAAUCAACAGGGUGAAUUUUGAACUAAUAAAGAUUUAAUCUCUCAGUCAUGAGACUGCAUUUGUUAGGAAAACACACAUAUCCCUGAGAAUGCAGCUACGGUUGCUAUACUACAGACUGCUCAGCAGCUUGCUGGGCAUUUUUCCAAAUCCAUUUAUUUUUAACAUCAGUCACAUUAUUCAAUUAAUUAUAAAAACACUGAGGUUUUCAAGAGAUGUUUCUGAUAAAACUGCAAAGUAAAUAUGCGUGAGAACAGCAAGGAUUAAAGUCUCUGUAAACUUUAGCAUCUGAGGCUGUUGCUAUAAACAAGAGCAGUUCUCCAGAAGGUUAUUUACCAGAGUGAAUCAUAGCAGAUAACACAGUCUCCUCCCACACCACACACAGGGAUCGUUUGUCCUUUACCUAGGGAUGGAAGCAGAGCAUCCACAUGUCUGUCAGCCCUGUGCUGGGGCAUGAGAGGGGUGAGAACUGGGCUGGAUUCUUCAGAUGCCUCUGGUAUUUCAGCAUCAUAGCUUGGUAAAUACCAAAUAUUUAGAAGGCUCAGCUCUUUCCCAAUAACCUGCAAACACAAUUCAAAAAAUACCAGCCCAUCUCCAGCAAUGCCUCAAAGCCUUGAAAACAUCAGAGAAGAAUUGAUGGAAGGAUUCAAGCCUCACCUGUAACAGCAGCCUGUAAACCUGCUGUUUCCUGGCAACUCCUGGUAUGUCCUGUGAUAGCUUCACUGUACCAAUACAAAAUGUUUUCCCAGUCCAAA